UGCGGGGUGGAGAAGUUGGAAUCUCGUUAGGCUCAUAACCUGAAGAUCGCCCUUUCGAUACGGGCCUCCGCAUCCA
Molecule: transfer RNA, 76 nt
Filed under: Candidatus Omnitrophota bacterium
Lineage: Bacteria; Pseudomonadati; Candidatus Omnitrophota
Also listed under: 1 other name
Description: tRNA-Met
Rfam family: tRNA
About the family: Transfer RNA (tRNA) molecules are approximately 80 nucleotides in length.
Source: RNAcentral